Molecule: long non-coding RNA, 322 nt
Filed under: Gossypium barbadense (sea-island cotton)
Lineage: Eukaryota; Viridiplantae; Streptophyta; Magnoliopsida; Malvales; Malvaceae
Description: long non-coding RNA (GBAR_LNC003998)
Source: RNAcentral
AUCCAAAAAUUGAAUCACACGCAUAUUUUUCAAGGAAUCAAACAGAAAAAACACACCGAAGGUUGAUCUCCGAUUUUAUUCUCUUUAUUUUCGUUUUUCGUUUUCUUGCUUCUUUAAUAUUUCUUUUAUUUUUUAUACAAAUCUAAUUAAACAAAGAUACACAAAAAAAAAACGCAAAUAAAAGGAAAGAGGAGGGAUUCUCACCAGAUCCGGCCCCGUCGCCGCGUCGUCGGAGCCCUCCCCUCCAUUCGGCGUGGUUGAGUCAAAAAGGGGGGAUCGAUUGUAUUUUGAAAAAAAAAACAUUUGUAAAUAAGGGGCAUUU